AAUACGUUCCCGGACCUUGCACACACCGCCCGUCAAGCCAUGGAAGCCGGGUGUACCUAAAGUCGAUAACCGCUGAGGAGUCGCCUAGGGUAAAACUGGUAACUGGGGCU
This 110-nucleotide ribosomal RNA is filed under the name uncultured bacterium. Its description in RNAcentral is "partial 16S ribosomal RNA". It matches the Rfam family "Bacterial small subunit ribosomal RNA", at positions 1365 to 1482 of the family's 1533-position model. The record is from RNAcentral.